RNAcentral lists this ribosomal RNA (465 nucleotides) under Vreelandella stevensii. RNAcentral describes it as "partial 16S ribosomal RNA". It matches the Rfam family "Bacterial small subunit ribosomal RNA", at positions 338 to 795 of the family's 1533-position model. The record is from RNAcentral. Lineage: Bacteria; Pseudomonadati; Pseudomonadota; Gammaproteobacteria; Oceanospirillales; Halomonadaceae.
CCUACGGGAGGCAGCAGUGGGGAAUAUUGGACAAUGGGCGAAAGCCUGAUCCAGCCAUGCCGCGUGUGUGAAGAAGGCAUUCGGGUUGUAAAGCACUUUCAGUGGGGAAGAAAGCCUUGGGGCUAAUACCCUCGAGGAAGGACAUCACCCACAGAAGAAGCACCGGCUAACUCCGUGCCAGCAGCCGCGGUAAUACGGAGGGUGCGAGCGUUAAUCGGAAUUACUGGGCGUAAAGCGCGCGUAGGCGGUCUGAUAAGCCGGUUGUGAAAGCCCCGGGCUCAACCUGGGAACGGCAUCCGGAACUGUCAGGCUAGAGUGCAGGAGAGGAAGGUAGAAUUCCCGGUGUAGCGGUGAAAUGCGUAGAGAUCGGGAGGAAUACCAGUGGCGAAGGCGGCCUUCUGGACUGACACUGACGCUGAGGUGCGAAAGCGUGGGUAGCAAACAGGAUUAGAUACCCCAGUAGUC